This 501-nucleotide ribosomal RNA is filed under the name uncultured bacterium. RNAcentral describes it as "bacterial SSU rRNA". It matches the Rfam family "Bacterial small subunit ribosomal RNA", at positions 897 to 1398 of the family's 1533-position model. The record is from RNAcentral.
AAACUCAAAGGAAUUGACGGGGGCCCGCACAAGCGGAGGAACAUGUGGUUUAAUUCGAUGAUACGCGAGGAACCUUACCCGGGCUUGAAAUGUACAUGAAUUACGUUGAAAGAUGUAAGCCAGCAAUGGCAUGUAUGUAGGUGCUGCAUGGUUGUCGUCAGCUCGUGCCGUGAGGUGUCGGCUUAAGUGCCAUAACGAGCGCAACCCACAUUAUUAGUUACUAACAGGUUGAGCUGAGGACUCUAAUAAGACUGCCGGCGUAAGCUGCGAGGAAGGUGUGGAUGACGUCAAAUCAGCACGGCCCUUACGUCCGGGGCGACACACGUGUUACAAUGGGAGGUACAAAGGGCAGCUACCUGGUGACAGGAUGCUAAUCCCUAAAGCCUCUCCCAGUUCGGAUCGGAGUCUGCAACUCGACUCCGUGAAGCUGGAUUCGCUAGUAAUCGCGCAUCAGCCAUGGCGCGGUGAAUACGUUCCCGGGCCUUGUACACACCGCCCGUC